Paramuricea clavata is the source of this 85-nucleotide non-coding RNA. The record is from the annotation of a GenBank genome assembly. NCBI's taxonomy places the organism in Eukaryota, Metazoa, Cnidaria, Anthozoa, Malacalcyonacea, Plexauridae.
UGAAUGUUGAUGACGUUGAAUAUCAACGUCAUAAACAUGUAAGUUGAAUGUUUAUGACGUUGAUAUUCAACGUCAUAAACAUCUA